RNAcentral lists this long non-coding RNA (617 nucleotides) under Cicer arietinum (chickpea). RNAcentral describes it as "long non-coding RNA (CARI_LNC000446)". The record is from RNAcentral. Lineage: Eukaryota; Viridiplantae; Streptophyta; Magnoliopsida; Fabales; Fabaceae.
UAAAAAUAAAAUAAAAUAAAAGAUCAAAGUUGUUAUAAAUAAAUAAGAUACUUAAAUCGUACCUUAUAAUAAUCAUAAUUAUCUCCGAACCCUACAUUAUCUCCGAACCCUACAUUAUCAUUCACCGUACCUUAUAAUAAUCAUAAUUAAUUAACUGAUCACAAAUCAGAAUAUUAACUAACUCGCUACUAGUUGUAAUUAUUUUAUUAUAUUAGUAAUGGAGUUGAACAGAAAGUGAUAAGAAUACUUGCUUUGAUCGAGAAGGGGAAGUGACGGAACCGUUGGAGGAAACAGUUGUGUCAGCGGAAGUUGCGGCGGAGAGGGUGAGUUUGUUGCGGCGGGGAGUGGAUGUUGUUGGGAAGAAGAGAGUGGUCGAAUUUGGUUGAAGUGAAAAUGGAGAAAGAGAGUGAGAAUGAGAGAAUUUGAAGGUAUGAAUUGGAGUUAGUGUGGCGGCCAUAGCUAGAAAUGCAAAGAAGCAAAUUGAAAUGAAAUAUCAGUGAGUUGGUGUGGAAGCUUUUAGUGUAUUUUUCAGUGGCUUGUUCUUGGCACCUAAAUUUUUUACCUCCUCUGUUGCUUUCUAAAUUUUAAUUUUUAAUAUUGAAACCAAAUGAGAUUCG